CUCCUCGUAGAUGAGCCCUUUUCCUCCUUUGCCCCUACCAGACAUGAUGAAAAGCAACUGUUGUUCUUUUCCAGUACCCGAGAACCAGCUGCAGCCCUUUAUAUAUCAGUUUUGCGGACCUUUUAGGAAACUGAAACAGCGAGGGCGGGAACUAGACUUCUGCCCCUGCCUCUUCCCUAUCUUACUGGGUGUUUGCUAUUGCCAAGAAGGGAAGGGGGCGUGGAAAUGCUAUUGGGUGUCUGACCCUCCUAUUUCCUGGUUGGGGUCCAGAGUCGCUGGUUUUGUGGUCUGUAGACAGGUCUCUGUGGGUUUUCUCAAUUAAUAUUGUACAAGUUUCCUCACCAUUUUUAUUAUUUAAUAAAAGGAGGCUGUUUUGCCACAUCUGUCUAUAAAAAGGGACAGAAAGCAGAAUAAAACUAAUUGUAAAUGUGAAGAUACUUUAAAAAGUGUAUUUCUUAAAUUCCUAGCAAUACUUUUCAAAUUUGGCUGAUCGUCAAUGUUUUCGUUUGGCAAAGCUUUAGAUAUACAUCGUUUCAACAUUUCUGAUAAAGCGGGAACUUCAGGAAGGGGAGAUAAAGUUAACUGAAUUUCCACUCUAUGCUGGAAAAUCACUAUUUACAUUGUGAACAUGAAGAAUCGCAGACUUGAAAACCUAAUUCUGUUCUAAUAAGUAGCAUUGUUGGGGUUAGAACUGAUGCUCUCUGAUUCUGGGGUGUAAUGUCCUUGCCACCUACGUCAGUGGAGUAUUGAAGAUACAGCAUGAUGAAUUGUGGUGGGUUAGUGACUAAGUCAUGUCCAACUCUUUCGAACCCAUGGAUUGUAACCCUCCAGGCUCCUCUCCAUGGGAUUUCCCUGGCAAGAAUAAUGCAGUGGGUUGCCACUGAAUAGGAAUUUGCAAAUUAACCGCAUUUUAAAAAUUAUUGACUGAAAUGCUGUUCAUGUUAAAAGGAUAACUGAUGUUCUACACACCGAAGAUAGGCAUUGAUAAGUUUACUAGGCUGAUGCCAAUAUUUACUCACAUUCCACAUAUUCACAUUGAAUGCCUUCUAUGUAACUACAGAGGUCAUUAAGAAAAAACUCCCUUCUUUGCUGGUGUUUACCGCAUAGGCAGUUAGAGGAUUAUUAUUUCCUGAGUCACAAAGUUUUGAGUUUUAUUUCAGGUGUGCUUACCUGUAGAUUUAGACAAUUUGUUCUCCCAUGCUCUCCUUUUUGAGAGAGGCACUAACAAGAAUCAUUGAUUCAUCCUUUCAACAAUUCAGGGUUUAUUAUAUUCCAAGUACCCGUGUACAAACAGUGCAGUAGUCGCAGGAGACACAGAUUUGAUCCUGAGUCAGGAAGAUCUGCUAGAGUAGGAAAUGGCAACCCAAUGGCAGAAUUCUUGCCUUGGGAAAUCCCAAGGACAUAGGACACUGGCGGGCUGCAGUACAAGAUAUCGCAAAGAGUCAGACAUGAACAGUUGAGUAGGCAGGCUCAGGAGCUUAGACUUUGAGAAUUUCAGGACUAACCCCAAGUCUACUGAAAUGAUACAGCAUUUUAAACAGUAUCUCCAAGUGGGUAGUUUGCUCUAACCACUUGGCUGGUUUGAGAGAGUUGUUUUAGAGCUGUGGUGUCCUACAUUAGCCACUAGCCACCUGUGUUCAUUUAAAUUUAAAUUAGUGAAAAUGAAAUCAAAUUAAAGAAAUAAUUUCUUCAGUCAGUAACUACUAUUUAAUAGAUGCUCAAUAACCACAGGUAAACAUAGUGGUUGUGCAGAUACAAACACUUCUAUCAUUGUAGUAGGUUGUUUUAGGCUGUAUUUUGAUAGAAAAUUUCUUAUGGAGAACUUCUAGCCCAGCCUGAGAAAUGGAAUGUGGUAAAUAUAUGAGACUGAGACUUGCUGCUGGAACUGAGGAUUGGCGUAUUUUUGAAGUAUAAUAGAAAUUAGUUAACUUCUAGAUGUACCAGAUAUUACAGAUAGAAGGAAACUGGAAAGUUGAGUAUAGUAAAGUUGUUUUAGGAAAUUAAAUUAAUAAUAUAUAGUUAUGCUUGGAGGGGAGUUUCAAGCAGGAGCUUGGAGGGGAGUUUCAACCAGGAGUUUCACCUGGUCCUCAGGUGAGACCAUCUGACAGAAAAAAUGGAUGUGAUUUCUCAUUACCUUUCUGAGCACAUGAUUAUAACACAAUGUUCCACUUGUUAUAUAGCUCUUCUUUUUAAUUUGGCCUUUUUUAUAUUUAGUGAACAUAGUCACUUUUUUCCUUACAUUUUUGAAAGUUAAUGAAUUUUAGCAUGCUUAUAUACAGUGCCCGUGGCUUGCCCUGGUGCAUACUACCUAUAUCUUUUACAGUCACUGGCUAUGGUAGAGUAGGGUGUUGACACCAACAUUAAGAGGACAUGAAGUUGCGAGAUGCCCAUCACUUGUCUCACUUUAGUUUUUCUUAUUUAUUUUUUAAAUCUAUAAGGUAAAAAUAGUUGAAUUCUUAGUCUAGCAGAAAAAUACACUGUUUUAGGAUCUAUGUAGAUUUAGGAUUCAAAAGUAUUAAACACAAGUUUUUUUUUGUGGGCUAUAAGUAAUAGGAGAAACUUUCCAAAUUUACAGUCCCAUGGGGAUGAUCCUGCUUUCAAGAACCAUGUCCACACUACAGUUAGAGUGUAAGUACUUGGGUCUCAAGCAAUAACUGUAUCUACAUGCAGCAUAGCUCCAUCAUUCUAUAAAUAUCUGGGGAAGAAAUUUUCAGGUGGAAGCAUGUCUCAAUUAUCGUCCUCUCGGAAAGGCAGAGACCUAUAAACAAUGAAGCGAAUGGCCCUGAGCCCAGUGUCUUCUCCCUUAUUUGGUACCUAAAAAGCCAUGGUACCAACAGUAGUUGCAUAAGAAAGAAAUUGUGACAUCUGCUGUAGGAAGUACUUUUCACCUAUCUUAAACUGAGUACAUAUAACUUAGGGAACAAGUUGAACAUGUAUUCAACAACUGAUAUUAUGACUACAAUGAUUACCAAAAUAGUAAAGUAUUAAACAUCUGGAUUUUACCUGUAUCUUGAGGACUGAUAGUAUUAGGCUCUGGCCCAAAAAGGAAAAGAGCCUUUAUAAUGUGCUUGAAAAGGAAAGGGGCCUAUAUUACUGUUACUGUUGCUAUUGACAGUGAUAUCAUUGAGGAUGACAAGUAGCCCUUUUUUCCAGACUCAUAAAAUACCUGUCCUGGGAAAAUUGGAAUGUUCCGUAGCCAAAAUUUUAACCUUCCCUCUUUAUACACUGUAUUUGUAUUUGGUAUAUAACAUGGUCUCAAGUCCCAGAGAUUUACUUUUAGACAGUACGAGUCCAAAAUAACUAUUGAAAAACAAACCAAGUGAUGUCUAUGUAAUUUGUUAAGUAUGGAGAGAUGACAUCUUUAAAACUGAUUAUCCUGUCUUGGAGUUAUAUGAGAAAAUUCUCAAGUUACUAUUGAACGUAGGCCAGAAGAAUUAGAUUUUUGAAAGUAGGGAUAUCUACUAGAAAAAAAAUCACAACACCAAAAUAUCUUUCCUGUUUAUUUACUUUGACAAACAUAAGACUUAGUUUCAGUAUUUGAUUAUUUAAUAGGUACUAG
Molecule: long non-coding RNA, 3559 nt
Filed under: Ovis aries (sheep)
Lineage: Eukaryota; Metazoa; Chordata; Mammalia; Artiodactyla; Bovidae
Description: lncRNA (ENSOARG00000026874.1)
Source: RNAcentral